Molecule: ribosomal RNA, 456 nt
Filed under: uncultured bacterium
Lineage: Bacteria
Description: bacterial SSU rRNA
Rfam family: Bacterial small subunit ribosomal RNA
Source: RNAcentral
AGGCAGCAGUGGGGAAUAUUGCACAAUGGGCGCAAGCCUGAUGCAGCCAUGCCGCGUGUAUGAAGAAGGCCUUCGGGUUGUAAAGUACUUUCAGCAGUGAGGAAGGUGGGUAUGUUAAUAGCAUACUCAUUUGACGUUAGCUGCAGAAGAAGCACCGGCUAACUCCGUGCCAGCAGCCGCGGUAAUACGGAGGGUGCGAGCGGUUAAUCGGAAUUACUGGGCGUAAAGCGCAUGCAGGUGGUUUGUUAAGUCAGAUGUGAAAGCCCCGGGGCUCAACCUCGGAAUUGCAUUUGAAACUGGCAAACUAGAGUACUGUAGAGGGGGUAGAAUUUCAGGUGUAGCGGUGAAAUGCGUAGAGAUCUGAAGGAAUACCGGUGGCGAAGGCGGCCCCCUGGACAGAUACUGACACUCAGAUGCGAAAGCGUGGGGAGCAAACAGGAUUAGAUACCCUGGUAG